This 459-nucleotide ribosomal RNA is filed under the name uncultured bacterium. RNAcentral's name for it is "partial 16S ribosomal RNA". It matches the Rfam family "Bacterial small subunit ribosomal RNA", at positions 338 to 795 of the family's 1533-position model. The record is from RNAcentral.
CCUACGGGGGGCAGCAGUGAGGAAUAUUGGUCAAUGGCCGGAAGGCUGAACCAGCCAAGCCGCGUGAAGGACGAAGGUGCCACGCAUUGUAAACUUCUUUUGUCAAGGGACAAAAUCAGGCUCGUGUGCCUCACCGAGGGUACCUGAAGAAAAAGCAUCGGCUAACUCCGUGCCAGCAGCCGCGGUAAUACGGAGGAUGCGAGCGUUAUCCGGAUUUAUUGGGUUUAAAGGGUGCGUAGGCGGACUGGUAAGUCAGCGGUAAAAGUCCGGGGCUCAACCCCGGCGAGCCGUUGAAACUGGCGGUCUUGAGAGGGCGAGAGGUAUGCGGAAUGCGCGGUGUAGCGGUGAAAUGCUUAGAUAUUGCGCAGAACUCCGAUUGCGAAGGCAGCAUACCGGAGGGGAUCUGACGCUGAGGCACGAAAGCGUGGGUAUCGAACAGGAUUAGAUACCCGUGUAGUC